UAGGGAAUCUUCGGCAAUGGACGAAAGUCUGACCGAGCAACGCCGCGUGAGUGAAGAAGGUCUUCGGAUCGUAAAACUCUGUUGUUCGAGAAGAACAAGGACGUUAGUAACUGAACGUCCCCUGACGGUAUCUAACCAGAAAGCCACGUCUAACUACGUGCCAGCAGCCGCGGUAAUACGUAGGUGGCAAGCGUUGUCCGGAUUUAUUGGGCGUAAAGGGAGCGCAGGCGGUUUCUUAAGUCUGAUGUGAAAGCCACCGGCUCAACCGGGGAGGGUCAUUGGAAACUGGGAGACUUGAGUGCAGAAGAGGAGAGUGGAAUUCCAUGUGUAGCGGUGAAAUGCGUAGAUAUAUGGAAGAACACCAGUGGCGAAGGCAGCUGUCUGGUCUGUAACUGACGCUGAGGCUCGAAAGCGUGGGGAGCAAACAGG
This 429-nucleotide ribosomal RNA is filed under the name Gemmatimonadota bacterium. RNAcentral describes it as "Gemmatimonadetes bacterium partial 16S ribosomal RNA". It matches the Rfam family "Bacterial small subunit ribosomal RNA", at positions 355 to 776 of the family's 1533-position model. Lineage: Bacteria; Pseudomonadati; Gemmatimonadota. The record is from RNAcentral.